CUCGGAGCUUCUCGGGAAGCUCCGCCUCCCAGGGAUACCUUGGGAAAAUGCUUCUUCCUACGAGUGGAAAUUACUCUCCGAGGAGCUACGUUUAGGAUCUCAUUUAGUGACACAGAUCAGUUACCUCCUCCUUUCCGAAUUGACAACUUUUCUAAGGUCCCGGUUGUCUUUACUCAGCAUGGCGUAGCUGAACCCAGGCUCCGGACUGAAGUGAAGCCGAUGACUUCAUUGGAUUAUGCCUGGGACGAACCCACCUUGCCACCUUUUAUCACUCUGACUGUUAAAGGGGCAGGGUCCUCCGAGAUCAACUGCAACAUGAAUGAUUUCCAGGAUAAUCGGCAGCUUUAUUAUGAAAAUUUCAUUUACAUUGCUGCUACAUAUACAUUCUCUGGCUUGCAGGAGGGAACAGGCAGGCCUGUGGCUUCCAACAAGGCCAUUACCUGUGCGGAGCUCGUUUUGGAUGUCUCACCCAAGACACAAAGAGUCAUUUUAAAAAAGAAGGAACCAGGAAAGCGUUCUCAGCUGUGGAGGAUGACAGGAACAGGAAUGCUGGCCCAUGAGGGCUCCUCAGUUCCUCACAAUCCCAAUAAGCCCUCAGCCGCCCGCUCCACCGAGGGGUCUGCCAUCUUAGAUAUUGCUGGUCUCGCUGCAGUGACUGACAACAGAUACGAGCCACUGAUGCUGAGAAAGCCUGACCGCAGGCGAAGCACAACUCAGACGUGGAGUUUCCGAGAAGGAAAACUGACCUGUGGGUUACAUGGGUUGGUCGUCCAGGCCAAAGGAGGACUUUCUGGUUUGUUUGAUGGAGCUGAAGUUGUUCUUGGUCCUGACACUUCCAUGGAGCUUUUGGGGCCAGUUCCACCUGAACAACAAUUUAUUAAUCAAAAAAUGAGACCUGGUUCUGGAAUGUUAUCCAUCAGAGUCAUCCCAGAUGGACCAACUAGAGCACUCCAGAUAACAGAUUUCUGCCACCGGAAAAGCAGCCGUUCAUAUGAAGUGGAUGAACUUCCUGUCACCGAACAAGAGCUGCAGAAAUUAAAGAAUCCAGAUACAGAGCAGGAAUUGGAAGUGCUUGUGAGGUUAGAAGGUGGAAUUGGGUUGUCCUUAAUUAAUAAAGUCCCAGAAGAACUGGUCUUUGCAAGUCUUACAGGAAUCAAUGUGCACUAUACACAGCUGGCAACCAGUCACAUGCUUGAACUCAGCAUACAGGAUGUACAGGUGGACAAUCAGCUCAUUGGUACCACGCAGCCCUUCAUGCUCUAUGUGACUCCCCUGAGCAAUGAGAAUGAGGUCAUCGAGACCGGCCCAGCUGUGCAAGUCAACGCAGUGAAGUUCCCCAGUAAGAGUGCACUGACCAACAUCUACAAGCAUCUGAUGAUCACAGCUCAGAGAUUCACAGUGCAAAUUGAGGAGAAACUGCUCCUCAAGCUGCUAAGUUUCUUUGGCUACGAUCAAGCAGAAUCAGAGGUGGAAAAAUAUGAUGAAAACCUCCAUGAAAAGACAGCUGAGCAAGGUGGAACACCAAUUCGAUACUAUUUUGAAAAUCUCAAAAUCAGCAUUCCUCAGAUCAAGCUAAGUGUGUUCACCUCCAACAAGCUCCCAUUGGAUCUUAAGGCCCUAAAAAGCACCUUGGGGUUUCCUUUGAUACGGUUUGAAGACGCUGUGAUUAAUCUAGAUCCAUUCACUCGGGUACAUCCCUAUGAGACCAAGGAGUUCAUCAUCAAUGAUAUCCUCAAACAUUUCCAGGAGGAACUCCUCAGCCAGGCAGCUCGAAUCCUGGGAUCAGUGGAUUUUCUUGGCAAUCCUAUGGGGCUUUUGAAUGAUGUUUCUGAAGGGGUUACUGGACUGAUAAAAUAUGGAAAUGUCGGGGGCCUCAUCAGAAAUGUUACACACGGAGUAUCAAACUCUGCUGCCAAGUUUGCUGGAACAUUAUCAGAUGGCUUAGGGAAGACGAUGGACAAUCGGCAUCAGUCAGAGCGGGAGUACAUCAGUGGAAGGUGUGAAAACAGAAGGGGGUGUCAGCGGUUUCAUAUCUGGCCUUGGAAAAGGGCUUGUUGGCACUGUAACCAAGCCAGUGGCAGGCGCCCUGGAUUUUGCAUCAGAAACAGCCCAGGCGGUGAGAGACACAGCCACACUCAGCGGCCCCAGGACUCAAGCACAGAGGGUUCGGAAACCGCGUUGCUGCACGGGGCCCCAGGGGCUGCUUCCCCGAUAUUCUGAGAGCCAGGCGGAAGGACAGGAGCAGCUCUUCAAACUCACAGACAACAUACAGGACGAAUUCUUCAUCGCUGUGGAGAACAUUGACAGCUACUGCGUGCUCAUCUCCUCCAAAGCUGUUUACUUCCUGAAAAGUGGAGACUACGUGGAUCGAGAAGCCAUUUUCCUAGAAGUCAAAUACGAUGACCUCUACCACUGCCUUGUCUCCAAAGACCAUGGGAAGGUGUAUGUGCAGGUGACCAAGAAAGCCGUGAGCACGAGCAGUGGAGUGUCCAUCCCCGGCCCCUCCCACCAGAAGCCCAUGGUCCACGUGAAAUCUGAGGUCCUUGCUGUCAAGUUGUCACAAGAAAUAAACUACGCAAAGAGCCUCUACUAUGAACAGCAGCUUAUGUUAAGACUCAGCGAAAACCGAGAGCAGCUGGAGCUGGACUCCUGAAGCCCCGCUGCCGAGACGGGCGCUCCCGACACAGCGCAGACCCACCAGGAGGAAAGAGGCCCAGCUCUCGGCUGACGAUAGAGGCAGAACCGGAGUCGGGUUUGGGGAAGUUGUCAAGGAAUGAGGGAAAGUAAAUCCUCAUGAGGAAAAGUACAAAUGGAAAUCGUAUUAAUUUGUGAGGCAGGGAGUUAUUUUAGAUUAUGGGAAAUAAUUUUUAAAGGUAUUGGUUAAAUAACGUUUAAAAACAUGUACUGAGAUGAAUCUAAUUUUUAGAUUGCCCUGUAUUUUGUUAACAUGUAUAUAUGUACAACAGUGUGUUUGUAAAUAUAUAGGAACGUUUCUGAACAGGGCCUGUGCUAUGUGUAAAGGUUUGUUAACUGUAAAGUAAUAUAAAGUUAUAUUGGAUCUUCUAUUGCACUAAUUCUAGAUGUCUAAUUCAGGAUACUGUCUAUAGAAAGGCAUUCUUAAAAGUUAAAGAAUGUUACGUCUUAGUUUUGGAGACUAAAGUAUUCCCAGUAAAGUGGGUUGAGGUGAGGGCUGUGGUCCUGAAAGGGACGCCUUUGACAUCGUGGCUGUCCAGUUGGGCUGUGAGCUGUGGCACCCAGGACUGGCGCUGGCCCUUCAGAAGGAUCUAGGAGAGGGGCUUGGGAGCCCACUUUUAAUUUCUCACCCCCAUUUUACAAAGAGUGCUUAGAUUCUUACAAAUUAUGUGGUAAGUUAUCCAUUUGGCUUUUUCCUAACUAGCCUUACCAAACUUAGGGGGAAACCUGUGCUCCAUUACCACAUGGGUGCAAGUCAGCAUUGUAAGUUUUCUCAGGUUAUUAUUAUUAGAGAGGUUGGAAACAUUGGUAAACUCUGUUGACUGAGAAGGAAAAAAAAAGUCCCAUUGAACUAUUGCAACAAAUCAGAAAUCCACAUAAGAGUGCUCUCCUGCCUGGGCAGCAACAACCAAGAACGAAGCCCCGGGACUGUUUUCUUUUUAAUAAAGCCACAGGCAGGCAUCGUAGCUCCACAGCCCGAGGGGACACAGGAUGGAAACCCCAGGAUGAGAAGGGAGCAGGGAGAGUUCCAGAAAGGGGGAUGAAAUAGGAGUAUUAAAAAGCUGCGUUGGUAAGUUUUUCAUGGAACCAAGAUUUGACGAAGGCAUCUCUUAUCCUUGGUUUUAAAUUCCUGCUGGGAGCAAGGCCUGGUAUGAGCGCCCUGGGUCUUGUUUUUGGUGUUUCGCUUUUCUGUAAGGAUUAAGCAGAUAGGGAGAAGGGAAAAGGGGCCUCACUUUAGAAUGAAUGAGUCACCUUGUGAUUUUUAAAUUUUUAUUUUAAUAAAGCUAAUCAAUUUCUACAACCUUGUCACAUGUAGCUGAGUCUGGGAUGACUCAGUGGAUCAGUGGAUGCGUGGAAGGUUUUGGUGUUUAUAACUCAUGACCCAAAUCCUUCCAAGACACAAAUGAAGCUAAUCUUCUUCCCCUCCCUUUCCUCUCCCACUUCCCCUCUGUGUCUGUGUCUGUGUGUGUGUGUGUGUGCGCGCGCACGCAUGCAGAGAGGAAGGAAGGGAGCUUUAGCACAAGUAGCUACAUAGUGUUCAAGGAUCAGCUUUCUUGAACUCCGAGGCUUGGUUGCCUUUGCUGAACUCCAAGUUAGUGGAUUGCAGAAUGGAAACUUGGCUUUUGCGGCACUGGGUGAGUUUUAGUUUGUGUGUGUCUUGCUGGGGGGUGGUGAUGAUUGUCUCAGCACUCACGCACUGCACAAGAUGGCAGCAGGAUACAGCCAAAUGGCAGCUCCUCUGUAGCUUCCUCCUCAGCCUCCCUCCUUGCACCCCCACAGGUUUGGCUUGUGGUUUUUGUCAUCAGUAACCUACUGCCUGAGAUUAUGAUCUCUUAAAAGAUGAGACUCUCGGAAGGGUUGAUUGUAUGCGUCAGUGAGCCUUCUAUCACCUUCUGGAACAAAGUCACUUGAAAUCUCUUGAUGAGAUUAAGGAGUUUAGUGUUACUAAGAAAAUCUGCUUUGGGCCGCAGCAGUGCUGGGUGUUCUCAGACCUGACUCAGGAAGUUAGCUGCGGGCUGCCCUGUGGGCUGGUGCUUCAGGAGGAAUCCAGAGAAGUGUUCAGAUGCCCCCCUUGGGCUCCUUUCUAAUUUUAAUCAGCUCUUUAAAUAGCUGCCCAUCUCCUGUGAUUGCACAACCAAGCACUUUGACAUUUGCACCUUAGGAGAGGCAGAUGUUAAAAUGGAAUCCAAAGACCACCUAGGGCGGGGCUGGGUGGGAGAUGGGAGGGCCAACUGCGAGCUGCUCCACUUCUCAGCUCUCCCCUGCCCUGCAGCCCUGGGCCAGACAAGGCCGGAAGGUUUCAGGGGCAUUUGACAUCCCCUCCUGGUUCUCACCAGGAAAACAUCCAAAGCUUUGGAGGAAACAGGCCCUGCCCCUGGCUCCUUAAAUGCCCCGUCUCUUUGUAAACUGAUAUUCAGCCAGCAAUGCCUAAGACUUUGUUAAGAUCAUUUCUACUGCUUUUCUUUCUGCUUCAAACACACAGUUCGUCUCUGAGGAAAGUAAAAUAAAUGGAAUAAGAGUAAAUUGGGUAAGGAGAUAUCCAAAGCUACCCAGUCCCUUGACCCAGCACAGUUGGCCGACCCGUGUCACUCCCUGGCUGUCGCUGCUUCUCUGUGCUCACUGAAGGGUGAGCCAGGCCAGUGCUUCCCCAGCCCCUGGGCCUGGUCACUACACAGUGGAAAACAGACAAGCGGCCCCUUCCCCAAAUCCCAAGAGUGUCUUGCUGCUUGGUGCGUGCUCAUCGCAACGUUCUGAAGGCUCCAGGGCCACUUUGUUUGUAAGUAUGAUCUGUGCCUCAAAAUACCAUAGUAGCUGCUUGAUAAAAUUCUAAAAAUAUCUGGUUCUCUAUUAUGUAAACACUAUUACAGUCACCAGUGUGUGAAGACUCUUGAGUCUGGUUCUCAUAUCAGAGUCAUCAUUUUUCUUCCUGUGGAAUAAAAUGCCUUGUGGACUUCCCAAA
Molecule: small RNA, 5653 nt
Filed under: Pan troglodytes (chimpanzee)
Lineage: Eukaryota; Metazoa; Chordata; Mammalia; Primates; Hominidae
Description: processed transcript
Source: RNAcentral